This 305-nucleotide ribosomal RNA is filed under the name uncultured bacterium. RNAcentral describes it as "bacterial SSU rRNA". It matches the Rfam family "Bacterial small subunit ribosomal RNA", at positions 332 to 631 of the family's 1533-position model. The record is from RNAcentral.
GAUAGCCUACGGGGCGCAGCAGUAGGGAAUUUUCGUCAAUGGGCGCAAGCCUGAACGAGCAAUGCCGCGUGAACGAGGAAGGUCUUCGGAUCGUAAAGUUCUGUUGAAGGGGAAAAAGAGCGGAGAGAGGAAAUGAACUCCGAUUGAUAUUACCCUUCGAGGAAGUCACGGCUAACUACGUGCCAGCAGCCGCGGUAAUACGUAGGUGGCGAGCGUUAUCCGGAAUGAUUGGGCGUAAAGGGCGCGUAGGCGGUCUGCUAAGUCUGGAGUGAAAGGUACCGGCUCAACCGGUACAGGCUCUGGAA